GAAAUUGAUCUGUCCCUGAUUUUAGGACAAGUUCAUGAGGCAGGACAUUCUUGGGUAAAAUAGCCUAGAAACCUUGAAAACCAAAUCCUCAUGUAAACAAUUACACCGCACCAAUGGACUAUGCUAGCGGAAAGAGGGCAUCCCCGCGGAGACAGGUCAGUCCAGGAAGGCUUCCCGAAGGAGGGGGUUCUCAGCUUGUCUCAAAGAGAUUCACGUGGGAGCAAAGGAUUGCUGGGCCAAGGACACCCAGAGAGAAAAAAGGGAUUAUGGAAAAUCCAGCAAGUUGUAACCAGCCAAUCUCACACUAAUGAUGUGAUCAAGAGAUGGACCUGUCUCCUGGCGAGGGGCCAUCGGCACUUGUCAACGCCCUCCGGUGUCCACGGGCAAGAGACAAAUCAGAAAUCACAGCCAUCCUGCUCCCGUCCCCAGAGGCGACCGCUGAAGAGGAGGGAGCCGUUUCUCGGGCGGCCUUCAUAUACAGCAUCGAUGCCAAAUAAUCACGUAAAUAAAUACAUGAGUACGAUAAGGACAGGAAGACAAAGGGAAGGGAGGAGAAGAAAAGAAAAAGCCAGGAACGGCUCCACCAGGAUAGGGACCUGCCUGCUUCCUUCCCCGCUAAGGCUUCCGCGUCGAGAUCAGCACCUGGCCCCGGUUCAGGACGGACAGACCUGCGAGCGCCAACACAGCCCGUCCCCACUCCUGUGGCGACAUAGGCCACACGGCUCUGCGGCUCACUUUUCUUGCUCCCUCAGCUGGGAGACCGUGUUUUCUCCACUCACACAGAGCUGCCUCGUUCCGGUGCUGCAGAGUCGGCCACGUGGCCGCAGCCGGGGACAUCUGGCCCAAUCCCGCAGGUGGAGACACGAUGGAACUGGUCUUUCCUCAGGUGUGUCUGUGAUUCUCCCCCUCUCCCGUCUCUCCCAGGAGCGUGGCCUGGAAGAGCUAGAAAACUCCGAUGGCCUGAACAUUAGCACGUGUGUCUGCGGACAUCAAGGAAGGCUUCUCGCAGGAGGGGCCCCGGAGCUGGGCCCUGAAAGUAGGGUCGGGGCUGCCAUGGAGGGGCAGCAAGGUGGAUGGUUUAGGGGCCACCUCUUGAGACGCACACCCUUCCUCAGAUGAGAAUGUGGAAAAGGCCAGCUCUGCAAACAGGGGAUGGACCCCCUUCCCACCCCCGACUACCCCCACCUCUCCCCACCCCCACCCCAUGCACAUGGCCCCCAGCCUGGCCUUCAAGAUUCCCCCAAGCAUCGUCUCUCCUCAUAGAGGCUGCGGGCAGUGGCUGCGGGAAUAUUAUUGCACAAACCGUGAAGGGGAAUGAAGGAUAUUUUCAGUUCGGAGCUCAGAUUCCCGGAUCACAGGUCCUCCCUUCCCGUUCUGCCUGCCAGGGUGGAGCUGGGUGGAUUAGUCUGGACAUUUCAGGCCACUGGCCACUGCUCUGGAGCAGGUCCUAGAGAGCCUUCUGUCUCUGUGCCUAGCGUGGACCCUUCACUUGCCGGAGCACAGAGUGGCCCAGGGUCUGGGGACUGACCCCAGAGUGGCCAGCGAGGCAGGCUCGUCACUCUGAGGCUCAAAGCAUAGGACACCAUCUGUGCCUGCUCGUGGGUAAGAGUUCAAGCCUCUGCACCAGCGUUACUGUGCGCCCUGCAGACAAUCUAACUCCGUGGGGAAAUGGAGGCUCAGAUGCUUUCCCAGGGAAGACGCUAGCUUGAUUCCAGAGGACGCAGGCUGGUGGCAGUGAAGCCAAGCCCAGGGAAAG
Molecule: long non-coding RNA, 1756 nt
Organism: Vulpes vulpes (red fox)
Lineage: Eukaryota; Metazoa; Chordata; Mammalia; Carnivora; Canidae
Source: Ensembl